Molecule: ribosomal RNA, 254 nt
Filed under: uncultured bacterium
Lineage: Bacteria
Description: partial 16S ribosomal RNA
Rfam family: Bacterial small subunit ribosomal RNA
Source: RNAcentral
GCCAAGUCGUGAGGCGGAGNUAAUCCCUUAAAGCCAUUCUCAGUUCGGAUUGUAGGCUGAAACUCGCCUACAUGAAGCUGGAGUUACUAGUAAUCGCAGAUCAGAAUGCUGCGGUGAAUGCGUUCCCGGGUCUUGUACACACCGCCCGUCACACCACGGAAGUUGGGGGCGCCCGAAGCCACUUAGCUAACCCUUUUGGGAAGCGAGUGUCGAAGGUGAAAUCAAUAACUGGGGUGAAGUCGUAACAAGGUACC